UGGGAAACACAUAUAACAUGUCAUUCUUCCCGGAUGAAAUUCGGUACUUUAUUUAUAUUAUCAAGCCAUUGCAUAAUAUAAACACACUUCAUUACAGAAGUCUUUACUACAAUAAAUCUAGAACUGGACUAGAAUGUAAAUAAUAAGCAAACUACACUAGUACAAUAAUACUAAGACUACUAUGCUGGCAAGGGUUCCUAUUUUCUAGAUUUUUUGGAAUUUUGUUUACCCCCGCUGAUUGAGUGACACGUAUGCAUGUUGGUUUCCUUUCGGUUUUUGAUUUUUUUACAUCCACUAAUCAUUUUUAGGGCAAUGUGAGCAUAAGUGAACAAUAUCAAAAUUUAACACUUGUUACUAGGGGUCGUGCAUGGAUUUGUUUACCUUCCACUGUUUUGAUUGGGUUUGAUGUGAU
Molecule: long non-coding RNA, 412 nt
Filed under: Hordeum vulgare
Lineage: Eukaryota; Viridiplantae; Streptophyta; Magnoliopsida; Poales; Poaceae
Description: long non-coding RNA (HVUL_LNC019606)
Source: RNAcentral